UGCACACACCGCCCGUCACACCACGAGAGUUUGUAACACCCGAAGUCGGUGAGGUAACCUUUUUGGAGCCAGCCGCCUAAGGUGGGAUAGAUGAUUGGGGUGAAGUCGUAACAAGGUAGCCGUAUCGGAAGGUGCGGCUGGAUCACCUCCUU
This 152-nucleotide ribosomal RNA is filed under the name cotton phyllosphere bacterium K. RNAcentral describes it as "partial 16S ribosomal RNA". It matches the Rfam family "Bacterial small subunit ribosomal RNA", at positions 1382 to 1532 of the family's 1533-position model. The record is from RNAcentral.